GGAUUCCCCUAGUUACGGCGAGUGAAGAGGGAAGAGCCCAAGAUUGAAAGCUGGCGCCUUCGGCGUCCGCAUUGUAAUCUCAAGAAGUGUUUUCCGCUUCGGACCAUGCCUAAGUCCCUUGGAAAAGGGCAUCAUAGAGGGUGAUAAUCCCGUACAUGGCAUGGAGCGCCCGUAGCUUUGUGAUACGCUUUCUAAGAGUCGAGUUGUUUGGGAAUGCAGCUCAAAAUGGGUGGUAAAUGCCAUCUAAGGCUAAAUAUUGGGGAGAGACCGAUAGCGAACAAGUACAGUGAUGGAAAGAUGAAAAGAACUUUGAAAAGAGAGUUAAACAGUACGUGAAAUUGCCAAAAGGGAAGGGUAGGAGGUCAGAGAUGCGACUUG
RNAcentral lists this ribosomal RNA (378 nucleotides) under Mycosarcoma maydis (corn smut). Its description in RNAcentral is "Ustilago maydis partial large subunit ribosomal RNA". It matches the Rfam family "Eukaryotic large subunit ribosomal RNA", at positions 72 to 444 of the family's 3401-position model. The record is from RNAcentral. Lineage: Eukaryota; Fungi; Basidiomycota; Ustilaginomycetes; Ustilaginales.